GUCCCGCCUGCCCUGUGACCAUGAGUUUAACGGCCGCGGUAUUUUGACCGUGCAAAGGUAGCGCAAUCACUUGUCUUUUAAAUGAAGACCCGUAUGAAUGGCAUAACGAGGGCUUAACUGUCUCCCUUUUCCAGUCAAUGAAAUUGAUCUCCCCGUGCAGAAGCGGGGAUCCCCACAUAAGACGAGAAGACCCUAUGGAGCUUUAGACAAAAAACAGCCCAUGUCAAACACCCCUAAAUAAAGGACAAAACUAAUUGGCCCCUGUCCUAAUGUCUUUGGUUGGGGCGACCGCGGGGAAACAAAAAACCCCCAUGUGGACUGAAGGCACCCUUCUUCACAACCAAGAGCCACAGCUCUAAGUAACAGAACAUCUGACCAACAAGAUCCGGAAUAAUAACCAAUCAACGGACCGAGUUACCCUAGGGAUAACAGCGCAUUCUCCUUCUAAAGCCCAUAUCGACAAGGAGGUUUACAACCUCGAUGUUGGAUCAGGACAUCCUAUGGGUGCACCCGCUAUUAGGGG
Molecule: ribosomal RNA, 523 nt
Filed under: Etroplus suratensis
Lineage: Eukaryota; Metazoa; Chordata; Actinopteri; Cichliformes; Cichlidae
Description: partial 16S ribosomal RNA
Rfam family: Bacterial large subunit ribosomal RNA
Source: RNAcentral